This 25-nucleotide non-coding RNA is filed under the name Mus musculus (house mouse). The record is from RNAcentral. Lineage: Eukaryota; Metazoa; Chordata; Mammalia; Rodentia; Muridae.
UCAUUUAUUUCUUGCCUUUAAACCA